Molecule: long non-coding RNA, 229 nt
Filed under: Mytilus galloprovincialis (Mediterranean mussel)
Lineage: Eukaryota; Metazoa; Mollusca; Bivalvia; Mytilida; Mytilidae
Source: RNAcentral
GAACAAUUUGUCCCCAAACUGCACCGCAUACAGGAUCUUACGCCAGAGGAAAAAAAAAUUUGAAAGAGUGAUUUAUUGUUUUUUGUGUGUGUCUUAUCCUGUCAUUUUGUUUAAUUGUGAUCUUUCAUUGCUGAUCUGCAGGAUUUUUAGGACGCAUUAAUUCAAAUAAUACCACGAUGGGAAUUGAUGCAAAGCAGCAUUUCAUAAGCUCUUCGAUCACCGGAUCAGG